RNAcentral lists this ribosomal RNA (468 nucleotides) under uncultured bacterium. RNAcentral's name for it is "partial 16S ribosomal RNA". It matches the Rfam family "Bacterial small subunit ribosomal RNA", at positions 28 to 507 of the family's 1533-position model. The record is from RNAcentral.
GACGAACGCUGGCGGCGUGCUUAACACAUGCAAGUCGAACGGAAAGGCCCUGCUUUUGUGGGGUGCUCGAGUGGCGAACGGGUGAGUAACACGUGAGUAACCUGCCCUUGACUUUGGGAUAACUUCAGGAAACUGGGGCUAAUACCGGAUAGGAGCUCCUGCUGCAUGGUGGGGGUUGGAAAGUUUCGGCGGUUGGGGAUGGACUCGCGGCUUAUCAGCUUGUUGGUGGGGUAGUGGCUUACCAAGGCUUUGACGGGUAGCCGGCCUGAGAGGGUGACCGGCCACAUUGGGAAUGAGAUACGGACCAGACUCCUACGGGAGGCAGCAGUGGGGAAUAUUGCACAAUGGGCGGAAGCCUGAUGCAGCAACGCCGCGUGCGGGAUGACGGCCUUCGGGUUGUAAACCGCUUUCGCCUGUGACGAAGCGUGAGUGACGGUAAUGGGUAAAGAAGCACCGGCUAACUACGUG